UACGUAGGGCGCAAGCGUUAUCCGGAAUUAUUGGGCGUAAAGAGCUCGUAGGCGGUUUGUCGCGUCUGCCGUGAAAGUCCGGGGCUCAACUCCGGAUCUGCGGUGGGUACGGGCAGACUAGAGUGAUGUAGGGGAGACUGGAAUUCCUGGUGUAGCGGUGAAAUGCGCAGAUAUCAGGAGGAACACCAGUGGCGAAGGCGGGGCUCUGGGCCGAUACUGACGCUGAGGAGCGAAAGCGUGGGGAGCGAACAGG
This 253-nucleotide ribosomal RNA is filed under the name uncultured bacterium. Its description in RNAcentral is "partial 16S ribosomal RNA". It matches the Rfam family "Bacterial small subunit ribosomal RNA", at positions 524 to 776 of the family's 1533-position model. The record is from RNAcentral.